This 440-nucleotide ribosomal RNA is filed under the name uncultured bacterium. RNAcentral's name for it is "partial 16S ribosomal RNA". It matches the Rfam family "Bacterial small subunit ribosomal RNA", at positions 338 to 795 of the family's 1533-position model. The record is from RNAcentral.
CCUACGGGUGGCAGCAGUGGGGAAUAUUGCACAAUGGGGGGAACCCUGAUGCAGCAACGCCGCGUGGGUGAAGAAGUACUCCGGUAUGUAAAGCGCUGUCAGCAGGGAAGAAAAUGACGGUACGUGACUAAGAAGCCCCGGCUAACUACGUGCCAGAAGCCGCGGUAAUACGUAGGGGGCAAGCGUUAUCCGGAUUUACUGGGUGUAAAGGGAGCGUAGACGGCAGUGCAAGUGCGGAGUGAAAGCCCGGGGCUCAACCCUGGGACUGCUCUGGAAACUGCAAAGCUGGAGUGCGAGAGGGGUAGGCGGAAUUCCAGGUGUAGCGGUGAAAUGCGUAGAUAUCAGGAAGAACACCGGCGGCGAAGGCAGCCUGCUGGACCGUAACUGACGUUGAGGCUCGAAAGCGUGGGGAGCAAACAGGAUUAGAUACCCGUGUAGUC